CUCUUGGCAAUAAAGCGCCCUUAUUUUUAAUGGUGCUUUAAGGAAAAGAGCUCUAAAAAGCUUUUGUGUUAAGAGUAUGCCGGGGAAGGUUUUCCGGUUUAUCCCGGAGGGCUUGUAGCUCAGUUGGUUAGAGCGCGCGCUUGAUAAGCGUGAGGUCGGAGGUUCAAGUCCUCCCAGGCCCACCAAUCACUCUAUCAAUUUAAUGAAGCGCUAGCGAGCUUGCUUAUAGGAUGCUUUCCUAUCAAAUCUGCAAACUGCUAAAAUAAAGUCUACAAACCGAUAAAGCCUAUAAAUUUGUAAGAAGCUUACAUAUUUUGUUUGGUAAUGCCUUAAACGCAUUUAAAAACACCGAUCAUUUGUCAUAGGACUUCAAAGUGAUGUCAUCACUUGAAUUUUAAGAGUGAACUUAAAUUUUAAGGGUGAAAUUGUCAUUUAAAAUGAAGUUUUAUUGAUGAUGAAGUUCUAUUGAUUAAGUUGGUAGAUAAGAUUAAGUCCGUAGAUAAAAUAUGGUUUGUUUAUCAGGGUGUUUGAAAAGGACAUUUAUCAUUUGCGAAGGGCAUUUGUAAAAGGGAAGAGCUUUACUGUU
RNAcentral lists this unclassified non-coding RNA (586 nucleotides) under uncultured Bartonella sp. RNAcentral describes it as "partial 16S-23S ribosomal RNA intergenic spacer". The stretch from base 109 to 182 matches the Rfam family "tRNA". Lineage: Bacteria; Pseudomonadati; Pseudomonadota; Alphaproteobacteria; Hyphomicrobiales; Bartonellaceae. The record is from RNAcentral.